Molecule: non-coding RNA, 711 nt
Organism: Odocoileus virginianus texanus
Lineage: Eukaryota; Metazoa; Chordata; Mammalia; Artiodactyla; Cervidae
Source: RefSeq, a predicted model, not a curated record
AACAGAUUCUGAAAUGUUUCUAGGCAGUGCUUCAAGAUCAUAUGUGGGGUGUGAACAUAUACCCAUUUGACCCCAAAGUCUGGGCUUAUAUAUUUUUAGGUUGAACAUUUAGAUUUGUUUCUGUCCCUCCAAUUUUUUUUGGAGGGGGAUGCAGCUUUAAAUAGUGGAAAUCUACCACUUAUUUUGUGAUCUGGGGUAAAUAAUCUCUGUGGAUGUGUAUCUUUAUCUAUAAACUGGGAAUAAUGCCUGCUUUCUCCAUGUCCUGGUUUUGUUCUGAGAUCACGUGUAUAGGAGAUUUCACUCUUCUUAUGACUUCACAAUUUAAUUUUGAAUGACUUGGUGGCUGGUGAGGUCGCCAGAAGAGCUGAGAGAGGGUGAUGGCAAGGUAACAGUCCAGGUGUAGCUGUGCUGAGUUGGGGUGUCUCCUGGACAGUAAGGAGAUGAAGCCCAGAUGACUUUGAAGGGCAGGAUUCUUGCUCUGGAGAGAGGACCAGGUGAUCUGGGUUGAAGACAGAAAUACCACUGAGACAUCUACACAUCUUAGCGCUAACAGGGAAACUCACUAUUGGAACUUGAUCAACAGUAAACAAAGCAUUGGGAGUGCAGUUAACAACAGAGAUAUGUCCAUCAGUCAGCAGCUCUUUACUGAACACAUAUUAGACCAGAGAAGGAUUCUUUACCAGCUGAGCUACCAGGGAAGUGAGAAGGUGG